CCUACGGGAGGCAGCAGUGAGGAAUAUUGGUCAAUGGACGAGAGUCUGAACCAGCCAAGUCGCGUGAAGGAUGAAUGCCCUAUGGGUUGUAAACUUCUUUUAUAUGGGAAUAAAAUGUUCCACGUGUGGGAUUUUGUAUGUACCAUAUGAAUAAGCAUCGGCUAACUCCGUGCCAGCAGCCGCGGUAAUACGGAGGAUCCGAGCGUUAUCCGGAUUUAUUGGGUUUAAAGGGUGCGUAGGUGGUGUGUUAAGUCAGUUGUGAAAGUUUGCGGCUCAACCGUAAAAUUGCAGUUGAAACUGGCAGUCUUGAGUACAGUAGAGGUAGGCGGAAUUCGUGGUGUAGCGGUGAAAUGCUUAGAUAUCACGAAGAACUCCGAUUGCGAAGGCAGCUCACUGGACUGAAACUGACACUGAGGCACGAAAGUGUGGGGAUCAAACAGGAUUAGAUACCCUUGUAGUC
RNAcentral lists this ribosomal RNA (460 nucleotides) under uncultured bacterium. RNAcentral describes it as "partial 16S ribosomal RNA". It matches the Rfam family "Bacterial small subunit ribosomal RNA", at positions 338 to 795 of the family's 1533-position model. The record is from RNAcentral.